Small nucleolar RNA from Jaculus jaculus (lesser Egyptian jerboa), 126 nucleotides. Lineage: Eukaryota; Metazoa; Chordata; Mammalia; Rodentia; Dipodidae. The record is from Ensembl.
AUCACUUGUAUGUAUCUUUGUUGAACUGAUGAACAAAGACUUAAAAACAGGUGCAAAAAUAUACCUUUUUUUGCAACCCAGAGCUCAUUGUGGAGUUGAGUUCUGAUGCAUACAAGAAGGGAUAUA